Molecule: ribosomal RNA, 155 nt
Filed under: Tovellia cf. aveirensis
Lineage: Eukaryota; Dinophyceae; Gymnodiniales; Tovelliaceae
Description: 5.8S ribosomal RNA
Rfam family: 5.8S ribosomal RNA
About the family: 5.8S ribosomal RNA (5.8S rRNA) is a component of the large subunit of the eukaryotic ribosome.
Source: RNAcentral
ACUUUCAGUGGCAGAUGUCUUGGCUCGAACAUUGAGGAAGGGCGCAGCAAAAUGCGAGAUGCAUUGUGACUUGCAGAAUUCCGGGAACCAAAUGACCAUUUGAAUGCGGACUGCGCUUUUGGGACACUCCUGGAAGCCAACCUGCGUCAGUGUCU